AGCUGAAUAUCAGAAGAUGCCUGCAUUUCUCCAUGAAGAACAGCAACAUCACUUGCAGAUGCUUCAAAAGGAGGACGAAGACAAUUUUUAGCAACUCCAUAAAAGCGAUGCCAGAAUGGCCCAUGAGAGGGAGAUUUUAAAAGGAAUGUAUGAGGAGCUGAAGGAAAAGUCCCAUAAACCAGAUGUGGAGUUUACAGGUGUUUGGAGACAUAUUACAC
RNAcentral lists this long non-coding RNA (218 nucleotides) under Homo sapiens (human). RNAcentral's name for it is "non-protein coding lnc-TRIM43B-8:1". Lineage: Eukaryota; Metazoa; Chordata; Mammalia; Primates; Hominidae. The record is from RNAcentral.